This 454-nucleotide ribosomal RNA is filed under the name uncultured bacterium. Its description in RNAcentral is "partial 16S ribosomal RNA". It matches the Rfam family "Bacterial small subunit ribosomal RNA", at positions 28 to 507 of the family's 1533-position model. The record is from RNAcentral.
GAUGAACGCUGACAGAAUGCUUAACACAUGCAAGUCCACUUGAACUUCGGUUUGGGUGGCGGACGGGUGAGUAACGCGUAAAGAACUUGCCUCACAGCUAGGGACAACAUUUGGAAACGAAUGCUAAUACCUGAUAUUAUGAUUAUAUGGCAUCGUAUAAUUAUGAAAGCUAUAUGCGCUGUGAGAGAGCUUUGCGUCCCAUUAGCUAGUUGGAGAGGUAACAGCUCACCAAGGCGAUGAUGGGUAGCCGGCCUGAGAGGGUGAUCGGCCACAAGGGGACUGAGACACGGCCCUUACUCCUACGGGAGGCAGCAGUGGGGAAUAUUGGACAAUGGACCGAGAGUCUGAUCCAGCAAUUCUGUGUGCACGAUGAAGUUUUUCGGAAUGUAAAGUGCUUUCAGUUGGGAAGAAGAAAAUGACGGUACCAACAGAAGAAGUGACGGCUAAAUACGUG